GCAAUGGUGUUCAAAACAAAGCCUUUCCCUCCCCCCCAUGGGCGUGCGGUGUUGCCAGGGUAACACAGCGGUAGGGGAACUCCUUGAUGAUGUCACCAGGACGCGACAGACGCCUUUCCUUUUUAUCAACUAUGGCUGAAGUGGGGGAGUCUUCCCGGGAAGAUGCAGUUCUUCCUCCCGUUGUAUCUUCCCCGUCGUCUACCGAGGAGUCCUCUGUCGUUGCUCCAGUAGUAGUCGAAGAGCAGGAAAAAGAGCCAGAACUGAAGGAGGAGGUACAGGCUAUCGAGAUAAAAAACAAUGAACCUUCUGAGCUCAUCCUUGGUGAAAUGGAAGAGUCUACAUCACAGUCUUGUGCAGCCAAAAAAAUAAAAAUAGAGAUAAAGGAGAAAAAAGAAAAAAAGCAUAAAGUAGAUGAAGAUGAAAUACAAAAAAUGCAGUGAGUAGUUUUCAAUUUACAUAGCAUGUAGCUUGUGUUGAAAUGUUAAACUAUUAUGUAAAACUCUAAGCUUAAUACUGUAUAUUUAAGAAGCCAGACAGUUUUUUUCUGCCUGUUCUGAUUCAGUAGGAGCAGAAGAGAGGAUGUUUGAUUUUUAAAAAUCAUUGAGUUUUAUCCACCUUAUUCUGAAUGGAACAUGGCUGACAGGAUACUUGUGCUGAUGAAACCUCUGUGAUCUCACCCUGAAACAUUACCUUAGAAGUUCCUUUGUGCCAUAUAUAGGCUUUCUUAGGGUACUGCUGCCAUCAGGGUCUUUGUUAGAUAAAUUGUUGCUAUUGUGUUUGUCUUGAAUUUUUUCAGCCUAUGACACCAGAUUUGGUGGACAAAGCGCUUGAUCGCUGCCAGGCCACCACUUCCUCUCUUGACCCUUGCCUGGCCUGGCUAAUCAGAGUAGCCAGGCCUGUAACAAUGGAAUGGGCUACUGCGAUAAUUAAUGGGUCUCUCCAGGAGGACCUCUUGCCCUCAAGGAGACAUUCAUUAGGCUCAUAAGAAAGAAACCUAAUUUGGCAAUUAUAGGCCUGUCGCCAGUGUUUCUUUCCUUAGUAAAGUGGUCGAGAGGGUGGUGGCUGAUCAUCUUCAGGAUCUUUUGGAUGAAACCAAUGCCCUGGAUCCAUUCCAGUCGGGCUUCAGGCUGUGCCACGGCACAGAAACGGCACUGGUUGCACUGUUGGAUGACCUGUUGAGGGAGGCUGACAAGGCAAAAUGUCCUUGUUGGUCCUCCUCGAUAUCUCUGCCGCCUUCGAUACCAUCAACCAUGGUAUCCUCCUGGGGAGGCUCUCCGAGUUGGGAAUCGGUGGCCUGGCACUUGCCUGGCUCCAAUCCAAUUUUUUUCCCCCAAGAUGGCGCCGGUGGCAGUUGGCUGGCACUUUUCUCCACUGCACCGGCUUCCCUCUUGGGCCCCUUUUACUAUUUUUGCUCUUCUUCUCUUCCUUUUUUCCUUUUCU
This 1440-nucleotide long non-coding RNA is filed under the name Pogona vitticeps (central bearded dragon). RNAcentral describes it as "lncRNA (ENSPVIG00000010121.1)". The record is from RNAcentral. Lineage: Eukaryota; Metazoa; Chordata; Lepidosauria; Squamata; Agamidae.